RNAcentral lists this non-coding RNA (960 nucleotides) under Kopua minima. Its description in RNAcentral is "Aspasma minima 12S rRNA". It matches the Rfam family "Bacterial small subunit ribosomal RNA". Lineage: Eukaryota; Metazoa; Chordata; Actinopteri; Blenniiformes; Gobiesocidae. The record is from RNAcentral.
AAGAAACUUGGUCCUGAUUUUAUUGUCUUCUCUAGCUUCAACUUACACAUGCAAGUCUCCGCACCCCCGUGAAAAUGCCCUUCUUUCUUUCUUCAAGAAAUAGGAGGGAGUGGAUAUCAGGCACAUCUCAGAUGGCCUAAAACAUCUAGCUAAGCCACACCCCCAAGGGUUUUCAGCAGUGAUAAACAUUAAGCUAUUAGUGAAAACUUGACUUAAUUAAGGCUAUUAAGGGUCGGUAAAAUUCGUGCCAGCAACCGCGGUUAUACGAAAGACCCAAGCAGACAAUACCCGGCGUAAAGAGUGGUUUAUUUAAAUUUUACUAGAGCCAAAUACCCUCAAGACUGUUAUACGUGUUCGAGAAUAUAGAAGCCCACCCACGAAAGUAGCUUUAUAAAAUAAAUACCACUAAAGCUAAGACACAAACUGGGAUUAGAUACCCCACUAUGCUUAGCCCUAAACCUAGACAACUUUUAUCUUCACCCGACUUCCGUUGUCCGCCAGGGAACUACGAGCAUAAGCUUGAAACCCAAAGGACUUGGCGGUGCUUUAGACCCACCUAGAGGAGCCUGUUCUAUAACCGAUAACCCCCGUUAAACCUCACCCUCACUUGUUUAUCAGCCUAUAUACCGCCGUCGUCAGUUCACCCUAUGAAGGCUUAAUAGUGAGCACAAUCAGCAUAACCCAAAACGUCAGGUCGAGGUGUAGUAUAUGUGAGGGGAUUAAAUGGGCUACAUUCUCUACUAGUUAGAGCAUACGAAAGGUGUAUUGAAAUUUACGUCAGAAGGAGGAUUUAGCAGUAAGUGAGAAACAUGAGUGUCUCACUGAAACCGGCUCUAAAGCGCGCACACACCGCCCGUCACUCUCCCCAAAAAAAAUUAAAUGCUCCCUAAUCGAAAUAAAAGAUAAAGGGGAGGCAAGUCGUAACAUGGUAAGUGUACCGGAAGGUGUACUUGGAAAAAU